AUGGUAAACCUAGGGAACUAUGAAGAUGGUGGCAGGAGGAUGUACCUGCGGCGUCUGGAGAUGGGUGCAGCAACAGCCGGCGCGCGGAGGUGGCUGGUUCUGGCGGCCCUGUCGAGCAACACCAUGAGACGGGAGCAGAGGUGCUGGUUCCGGCGGCAGCAGAGGCUGCAGCAUGAGACGGGAGCAGAGGUUGCUGGUUCCGGCGACAACAGAGGCUGCAGCUCGCACAUCUGCCCUGAGACCGAUGUGGCCGGACUGGUUCCGGCGGAUGUGGCCGGACGGCGACUAUACGUCCAUCGAGAGGAGGAACUGGUGUUUCUGGCGACGUGCGUUCAGGGCUCGAUGGAGCUCUCACACUUUUUUUUUUCUGUUUUGGUUUGGCUCGGACGUUUUUUUCUUUGGUUUGGGCAUGGAGGUCUUUUUUGGUCAAUGCAUGGAGUGGACGUGGUUCGUGGAUUGAGUCGCAACUGUAAUUUUUCUCCUGCUGGUGCGUGA
Molecule: ribosomal RNA, 495 nt
Filed under: Triticum aestivum (bread wheat)
Lineage: Eukaryota; Viridiplantae; Streptophyta; Magnoliopsida; Poales; Poaceae
Description: partial small subunit ribosomal RNA
Source: RNAcentral